GGACGGCUACGUGCGGCGCCGCCGCCGCGCCCCGCCCGCCGUGCGGGGCCGCCCCUGCCGGGGCCGGGCUUCGCUCCCGGCCGGGCCGAGGGAACCCACCGACACCGCUGGCCCGCGCCGGGGUCCGGCCGCGGGGCACAGAGCUCGAAACGCUAUCGUCGAAGGCGCUCUGCUGUUAUGUUUUCCACUGAAUCCUAAAUGCCUAAUCCAUAAGCAACAAACUUUCUAAGAGAGUUAAUCUGCUUAUAGGGGGUGGAUGUGGGGGAGAAAAUGAGAAGAACUGAAUAACCAAGAGCAAAAUAAAUAUUGUCUGCAGUAUCAGCAACCUCAGGUGUUCAGAGCCAUUAGCGAAGCUCUAAGAAUCAUGUCAUUGGAACUCUCAGCAUAAAUAUGGGCUGAUGUCUUCUGCUUAGCACCUGGGGAGAGAACCAUCCCAGGGGAGUGAGCAAGCUCCAGGAUUCAUCUGUCUUCUGCCCCUCCCUCAAGCCAGAGAGCUUCUGUCUCUGAGAAUAUCUCCGAGAAUGUGCUCUGGGAUAAGGCUGAUGGUAGUUACCAAAAGCAUUUCUGGGUCUAAUAUUCUCACUAAUGGGGAAAGGGUAUAUUUGCUCUGUAACUUUAAACUGUAUAGCUUUUCAGUAAGUAUGAAAUAGCUUUAAAUAGAAAAAUCAAAUAGAGUUCACCGUUACAGCAGGUCCUGUGGUUGGUUUUGUUGCUUCACCUACAGCUGCCAUCUGUGAAGGCAUGUGUCUGAGCCAUGUGAUGAUGAAAGAUUCUGCUGUAGGCAAGCAAGUUUUUGUCCUUCCUCUUGGAACAGAAGAGCUUAGUUAUGUGAAUCCUAAAGCCUUAGAAAACCAGAGAAGUAGAGAAGAUGCAUUUGUUUUCUGAUACAGAUAACCCCUUGAUUCAAACCCCUCUAUCUUUGAUACUAAUGCUCUAAGCCCUCAAAAACUUUUGCAUCUCUUAACUUCACUGCUGCAAUGACUUUUAUAAUCACUCAAUGCACAGAACUAACACAAACAUGUUAAAGUGUCUGUAGGAUUGUGACCAAAGUACAUUUAGAUAUCUUCUGCCCCCUGUCUGCUAAUUAGGAUUGGGUAGCUCUAUUGUGAACCAUGCUCCACAAGCAGAUUAAUAUUUCAAAGGACAUCAUCAGUCUUCUUCUCCAAAAUCUGGUGAUUUCCAGAACUCGGAAAUCACUUUAUCACUUUGGCAAUCUGUACCCAAAAAUAACUAUAAAGAGACAGAGCUUUGUUCCGCAAGGACAUUUAUUUCUGGGAUGAUAAGGAAAAAGACCUUUCUUACCUUAGGUGAGAGAUGAGAGUAGAAUUUCAUUAAUUCAUUGGGAUGCACAUAGCUAGGACUGAACUAGUUACACAGAAGUUGUCAAAGCCUUUGUAAACUCUUUCUUAAACCUUUACAUUAUAUCUACAGAAAGUUCAUUUGUGGAAUGAAUUACAAUGAAGUGGAAUGAAUCUAGAAUGAACUGGAGUUAUGCACUGAAGCUAUCCACAGAAGACUUUCUGGGUUUUUUUUGGAGUUAGCACACUCAUCAUGUAUGUAAAGUACACAGCUGCUGAUUAGAAGAUUGCAAAAGGGAUGCAGAAAGUCUUUUUAAACAUAUAGAAUGAAAUAGUGUGAGUGGCAUUUUGUGAUUUGUUUUCCAAUUAGGAACGACAUUUAAUUUUAAGAGUUGAGCUGUUUUUAAGAUAACAUUUUGUUGGUUCAGGUGCAUAUGCCUCUUACUAUGAUUACUGAUUGUAAUUCUCGGGAUUUUAGGCAGAGAGAAGGCCACAUGGUCCCUUGUGUCUCUUUUCAAUAGUCUCAAUUUUAAUGUGUGAGACUACGCUUAAUGUACAGAAACACAACCCCAAAUUUAUUUUUGGUUCCAGUUUUUAUGUAUUCCUAGAUUAUUAAGGAAAAUGUAGGUUUUAGAUCUUCACUGACUCCACUAGUAUUGGAAGUAGACCUUUCUCUUCAAGAAGACAAAGGGAAAACAGAGCUUGUUAUGCAGACUAUAAACUGUCCUUAAGUCAGUUUUGAGUUAUACAGGCAUUAGCAUUAAUUUGAGUUUUUUAUAUUGAAAUCCUAUGGUUGAACUAAUAAAAUGUACUUUUUUCAUAAUAAAUAUUUUAAGUUGUUUAGCUAAAAAAGGCAAAAAUAACAAGGAAAAUUCACUUUUUUUAAGUAUCCUAACUGUAUGAAAUGCUUCACAGAAAUAAGUAAAACUACAUCUACACUGGUAACUUGCAAAUAAGAGGCUGCAGCAAUGGCUACACACUCACAAUUAACCUGACACAAACUGACUGUCUCCUUCUGUGUCCAGCUGCUCACUCCCAUCAUCUUUCUUAGUGCUGGUACAAGCACAGAGGCUUUCGAGCAGCCACAGUCAGGCAUGUCAAGCAGCACAUGCACCCAUUUUUGCAUGUAAUCUGCAGGAUUUAAUCAAAUUAAACAGAUUGUAUAAUCAUGACCUGAUUCUGCAAAACUGUAAUUUGAAGUUUUGCAUCUUAAAGAACUACACAUAUUAAUCAUGUUAUAGCUUAUAUGAUGCUAUGCACAAAACAGGAGACCUAUGGCAAAGAAAUCUAUUUCCACUUCAGUAGGGUGCAGCUGACAGGAGUACUGUGGAAAACUGUGAGGAGGGAAUUAGUAGGUCGGAUGUGUGCUUUUUAUAUAAUAUCAAAAAUAGGUGUGCCACGAAGUAAAAAGAGGAAGGAUAAGGAACCAGAUUAUUUCCUGUUUUGCUUUUAGAAAAUUGUUUACUUUGAAAUGCUUGCAUGUCUUUAAAAAAUGCUUUAAGCAAACUGCCUAGAUUAAAUCAAAACAAUAAUUAUGAUUUCAUGAGUUAUUCUGUAUCUUUUAGUACUGAGGCUUUGAUCUCUGACAUGCUGUAUUAUAUUAGUGCUUAUUACAGACCACCAUGUUACUUGACAAAUAGGGAAUCUUUCCUUACGCUGGGACUUGCAUAUACUCAAAGUAUCUUGCUGGGACUAUAAAAAUUAUCUUUUUUUUUUUCUAUAUAAGCUUAAUGCUAUAGUUCAAUUUUGUUUUUCAUGAGCAACAGGGAAAUUUUCCAAACCAAAUAGAGUGCCAGCCUUUCUUUAUGUACUUGCUGUUGUAUAACAUGCAGAUUACUGCUGAAGGGUGUGUUUCAAAUUGUAGUUUCAAAUUUGUUUUUAUAAGAUAACAAAAUUGCCUGUGUGGGCGCAAAUGUAUGUGUGUGACUGCUGUAUGCAUGCACGCAUGCAUGUUUAUCUCUCAGUUUUCCAUUAAUGCCUUCGAGCCCUUUGGCUAAUUCCAACAAAAUUAACUUAGGACUGUAGCUCUAAAAAUAAUUAUGUUCCUACAAGGCUUGGAAAAUGGCCAAGUAAAAUAAGGAAAUCUUAUCAGUGUACUGGUUAAAGGAAAAGUUGUCAUGUAAGUGCAUACAUUAUUAGAUAGUAGAGAAUCCACCUUGAGGACACCCUGUAUAAAUAUCUCAUAUGUGGAAAAGAGGGACUUUCUUGGCUUAUGCCUAAACUGGAUGAUGCGUGUUAAAAUAAAUUCAAUAUGCGCAGCUA
Molecule: long non-coding RNA, 3560 nt
Organism: Pseudopipra pipra
Lineage: Eukaryota; Metazoa; Chordata; Aves; Passeriformes; Pipridae
Exons: 3
Source: RefSeq, a predicted model, not a curated record